This 111-nucleotide ribosomal RNA is filed under the name uncultured bacterium. RNAcentral's name for it is "partial 16S ribosomal RNA". It matches the Rfam family "Bacterial small subunit ribosomal RNA", at positions 1360 to 1482 of the family's 1533-position model. The record is from RNAcentral.
CGGUGAAUACGUUCCCGGGUCUUGUACACACCGCCCGUCACACCAUGGAAGUUGGUUCUACCUUAAGCCGCCGCUCAAACGGCGACCACGGUAGGGUCAAUGACUGGGGUG